RNAcentral lists this transfer RNA (74 nucleotides) under Trichonephila inaurata madagascariensis. RNAcentral's name for it is "tRNA-Tyr". It matches the Rfam family "tRNA". Rfam says of the family: Transfer RNA (tRNA) molecules are approximately 80 nucleotides in length. Their secondary structure includes four short double-helical elements and three loops (D, anti-codon, and T loops). The record is from RNAcentral. Lineage: Eukaryota; Metazoa; Arthropoda; Arachnida; Araneae; Nephilidae.
CCGUCGAUAGCUCAGUUGGCAGAGCGGUGGACUGUAGAUCCAUAGGUCAGCUGGUUCGAAUCCGGCUCGACGGA